Molecule: ribosomal RNA, 497 nt
Filed under: uncultured bacterium
Lineage: Bacteria
Description: partial 16S ribosomal RNA
Rfam family: Bacterial small subunit ribosomal RNA
Source: RNAcentral
GAUGAACGCUGGCGGCGUGCCUAAUACAUGCAAGUCGAGCGAACAGACGAGGAGCUUGCUCCUCUGACGUUAGCGGCGGACGGGUGAGUAACACGUGGAUCACCUACUUAUAAGACUGGGAUCACUUCGGGAAACCGGAUCUAAUACCGGAUAAUCUCUUGAACCGCAUGGUUCAAUAGUGAAAGACGGUUUUGCUGUCACUUAUAGAUGGAUCCGCGCCGCAUUAGCUAGUUGGUAAGGUAACGGCUUACCAAGGCAACUAUGCGUAUCCGACCUGCGAGGGUGAUCGGCCACACUGGAACUGGGACACGGUCCAGACUCCUACGGGAGGCAGCAGUAUGGAAUCUGCCGCAAUGGGCGAAAGCCUUACGGAGCAACGCCGCGUGAGUUAUGAAGGUCUUCGGAGCGGAAAGCUCGGUUAUUAGGGAAGAACAAAUGUGUAAGGAACUAAGCACGUAGUGACGGUACCGAAUCAGAAAGCCACGGCUAACUACGUG